RNAcentral lists this long non-coding RNA (554 nucleotides) under Volvox carteri. RNAcentral describes it as "long non-coding RNA (VCAR_LNC003507)". The record is from RNAcentral. Lineage: Eukaryota; Viridiplantae; Chlorophyta; Chlorophyceae; Chlamydomonadales; Volvocaceae.
CCCGAAACCAAAGCUAAGUGUCCCGCUCAUCCGGCACGACCGUUCCUAACGCCGAAAACGAACUCCUAGUGCCCUUUAUCAGACAAGCGGGGAAGCCCCUGCCCUGGGUCGAGCUAGUGUCGAGCUAUGCGGUCUGCUGAGUCUUGGGGGGCCCUAUAGGCUACUUCCAUUUUAGGUGGUGGCUGCUGAGGCAUCCCAUACACAGUCUCGUAUUAAGCUUCGGGGUGAGCUGUAUUGUUGUUCAAAGUGUGUGUUUUCAUCUUAGGGUCCCCAACAAGCAGUGCUGUGCAUGGCCCGUUCUGGCCUGGACCUGGAAUUGGCCCGACCUUUGGGGGUUUUCCCGUGGGGUCUGGGACCCGCUUUAGUACCUAAUACUACUGACGGUCGCUAGGGGACUAUCACAUCCCAAACACACUGUCGGGGAAAACGUCCGUCGGGGCAGACACAUGCGCAUGUGCAAGUGUCCAUUUCUUUCAAGCCCGGUCGGCACAGCAGCAGGCACCCUUUUACAUAUCUGCUGGAAUCCCAGAUUAUUAUCGUAUAAGACCACAAUU